CCUACGGGUGGCAGCAGUGAGGAAUAUUGGUCAAUGGGCGGAAGCCUGAACCAGCCAAGUAGCGUGUGGGAUGAAGGCCCUACGGGUCGUAAACCGCUUUUGCACGGGGAUAACACCCUCCACUUGUGGAGGUCUGCAGGUACCGUGCGAAUAAGGGCCGGCUAAUUCCGUGCCAGCAGCCGCGGUAAUACGGAAGGCGCGAGCGUUAUCCAGAUUCAUUGGGCUUAAAGGGAGCGUAGGCGGGCGGUUAAGUCAGCUGUAAAAUCGCGGGGCUCAACCGCGCCCCGCAUUUGAAACUGGACGACUUGAGUUCACAACAGGCAGGCGGAAUUCGAGGUGUAGCGGUGAAAUGCAUAGAUAUCACGAGGAACCCCGAUGGCGAAGGCAGCCUGCCGGGGUGCGACUGACGCUGAGGCUCGAAGGUGCGGGUAGCAAACAGGAUUAGAUACCCGAGUAGUC
Molecule: ribosomal RNA, 459 nt
Filed under: uncultured bacterium
Lineage: Bacteria
Description: partial 16S ribosomal RNA
Rfam family: Bacterial small subunit ribosomal RNA
Source: RNAcentral